AUCCCGCCCCGGCUGUCCCCGAGAGCCGUGCUGCCGGGCCCCGGGCCCGCAGAGCGGGCGCGGCCUCCUAAGCCGCGAGGGAGAGGACCAGCGCGGGGUGGCUGCAGCUCUGUCCCCGGCCGCCCCCGCCCCCGCCUCCCGCCGCUUCUCUUCCGCGCCUCCGCACCCAGGCCCGCGCCUGCUUUCGAUCCCGCCGCGGCCGCCGUUGCCUCCGCUUCCGACUCAGCCUCUGCUGCCUCCGCCUCCGCCUCUGCCUCCGCUCCGGCCGCGACCCCAACCGGGACCGCGACCUGAAUCCCCGCCCCGCCCCCGGGCCAACUUCUGCCCAGGCCGGGACACCGGCGGCAGCCCCCCCGAGGCCCAGCCGUGGGGACCAUGCUGCCUAGCUCCAUCCAGAUUUCGGGGGAGCCGCUGUCAGGCGCCGAGGUGCGGGACAUCUGCCGCGGCCUGCGCGACAACGCGGUGCGCCUGCUCUCGCUGCGCGGCUGUCGCCUGUGCGACCGCGACUUCGGCCGCAUCUGCCGGGCCCUAGCUGGAGCCACGUCCCUGGCGCAGCUCAACCUUAACCUGGGCGUCGUGUCUAGCCCCAGCCGCAUCAAGCAGCUGGCAGAAGCGCUACGGACCAACCGCUCCAUCCAGUCCCUCUUCCUACAUGGGAGCCCACUGACAGAUGCGGGACUGGCCUUGCUGAACCCAGCCCUGGCUCUCCACCCUGCCCUUGUGGCUCUUGACCUGGGGGACUGCAUGUUGGGUGAUGAAGCCAUCAACCUCAUCUGUGGCCUACUCCCUCCAGACGGGGCCAAGUCUGGAAGGGAGAUGCUUAGAAACUGAGCAGAGUGGAAACUGAUCCAGGCAGGGGAGGCGUGAGUCUGAAGGAGCUAACACUGAGCGCCAACCCUGGCAUCACCCCCAAGGGUUGGAGCCGCCUCGCCAUUGCUGUGGCCCACAGCUCCCAAGUCCGCGUCCUCAACCUGGACUACAACCCCCUGGGCGACCAUGUGGCAGGGAUGCUGGCUGUAGCUGUGGCCUCAAGCCGUACCCUAGAAGUCCUAGACUUGGAGGGCACAGGGCUCACCAACCAGUCAGCUCAGACCCUGCUGGACAUGGUAGAAAAUUACCCAACAGCUUUGCGGAGCCUGGUGUUGGCCGAGAACAGCAUUAGUCCAGAGCUGCAACAACAGAUUUGUGACCUCCUAUCUGAGGGGGAGGAAGAGGAAGAGAUGGCAGGAGGGGCUGCCGACACCCAGGAAUGGGAGAGAGGGCGGGAGCCUGCUGCCCACCAGCGGAGUGGCAGCUCCUGGAUGUGCCCCAGUGAUCCCAGUUCUCAGAUGGUGCUAAUGACAUCAGGACUAGGGGACAGUCUGUUGGCUGAGACUGAGAUGUGACUCUCCGCUUGGACUUCUGCACAGCAUUGCAUUUGUCUGUGUCCUCACUACCUUCCUCCACAGAGCAGGGAAAGGCCCUGGCUGGGGCUCUGGCAGCUCCUGGUAGUGGCACGAGGCUCUGGAAGCUGUCACUGGGCAACAGCCUUGAGGGGUGGCGGGGGGACUUGAACCCAGGGUACUGACUUUGAACUUGUUGGCAGCUCUGGCUGCAACCCGCUGGCUCGGAACAGAUUUUAUAAACUCCACAACCUGA
RNA transcript from Mus musculus (house mouse), 1638 nucleotides. It is a transcript of the gene named leucine rich repeat containing 73, with no coding region annotated. The transcript has 7 exons. Lineage: Eukaryota; Metazoa; Chordata; Mammalia; Rodentia; Muridae. The record is from RefSeq and is marked validated.